Ribosomal RNA from Mesocricetus auratus (golden hamster), 119 nucleotides. The record is from Ensembl. Lineage: Eukaryota; Metazoa; Chordata; Mammalia; Rodentia; Cricetidae.
GUCUACAGCCAUAACAUCCUGAACGUGCGUGAUCUCAUCUGAUCUCAGAACCUAAGCAGGGUCGGGCCUGAUUAAUACUUAAUUUAGUACUUGCAUGGGAGAUUUAUCUGGAAUACACU